This 432-nucleotide ribosomal RNA is filed under the name uncultured bacterium. Its description in RNAcentral is "partial 16S ribosomal RNA". It matches the Rfam family "Bacterial small subunit ribosomal RNA", at positions 29 to 506 of the family's 1533-position model. The record is from RNAcentral.
AACGAACGCUGGCGGCAUGCCUAACACAUGCAAGUCGAACGAGACCUUCGGGCCUAGUGGCGCACGGGUGCGUAACGAGUGGGAACCUGCACUUAGGUUAGGAAUAACUCCCUGAAAGGGGUGCUAAUACCGGUUAAUGUAUUCGGACCAAAGAUGUAGCGCCUUUGGAUGGGCCUGCGAUGGAUUAGCUAGUUGGUAGGGUACAAGCCUACCAAGGCGACGAUCCAUAGCUGGUCUGUGAGGAGGAACAGCGACACUGGGACUGGGACACGGCCCAGACGCGUGCGAGAAGCAGCAGUGGGUAAAAUAGGACAGGGAGCGAAAGCCUGAACCAGCAAUGCCGCGUGAGUGAUGAAGGCCUUAUAGUUGUAAAGCGCUUUUACCCGAGAGUAUAAUGACAGUACCGGUAGAAUAGGCUCCGGCUAACUCCGU